AACGAACGCUGGCGGCAUGCCUAACACAUGCAAGUCGAACGAGACCUUCGGGUCUAGUGGCGCACGGGUGCGUAACGCGUGGGAACCUGCCCUUAGGUUCGGAAUAACUCCCCGAAAGGGGUGCUAAUACCGGAUAAUGUCUUCGGACCAAAGAUUUAUCGCCUUUGGAUGGGCCCGCGUUGGAUUAGCUAGUUGGUAGGGUAAAAGCCUACCAAGGCGACGAUCCAUAGCUGGUCUGAGAGGAUGAUCAGCCACACUGGGACUGAGACACGGCCCAGACUCCUACGGGAGGCGGCAGUGGGGAAUAUUGGACAAUGGGCGAAAGCCUGAUCCAGCAAUGCCGCAUGAGUGAUGAAGGCCUUAGGGUUGUAAAGCUCUUUUACCCGGGAUGAUAAUGACAGUACCGGGAGAAUAAGCUCCGGCUAACUCCGUG
This 433-nucleotide ribosomal RNA is filed under the name uncultured bacterium. Its description in RNAcentral is "partial 16S ribosomal RNA". It matches the Rfam family "Bacterial small subunit ribosomal RNA", at positions 29 to 507 of the family's 1533-position model. The record is from RNAcentral.